Molecule: ribosomal RNA, 452 nt
Filed under: uncultured organism
Description: partial 16S ribosomal RNA
Rfam family: Bacterial small subunit ribosomal RNA
Source: RNAcentral
UACACUCCUACGGGAGGCAGCAGUGGGGAAUCUUGCGCAAUGGGCGAAAGCCUGACGCAGCCAUGCCGCGUGAAUGAUGAAGGUCUUAGGAUUGUAAAAUUCUUUCACCGGGGACGAUAAUGACGGUACCCGGAGAAGAAGCCCCGGCUAACUUCGUGCCAGCAGCCGCGGUAAUACGAAGGGGGCUAGCGUUGCUCGGAAUUACUGGGCGUAAAGGGAGCGUAGGCGGACAUUUAAGUCAGGGGUGAAAUCCCGGGGCUCAACCUCGGAAUUGCCUUUGAUACUGGGUGUCUUGAGUAUGAGAGAGGUGUGUGGAACUCCGAGUGUAGAGGUGAAAUUCGUAGAUAUUCGGAAGAACACCAGUGGCGAAGGCGACACACUGGCUCAUUACUGACGCUGAGGCUCGAAAGCGUGGGGAGCAAACAGGAUUAGAUACCCUAGUAGUCCCAUGA